RNAcentral lists this long non-coding RNA (473 nucleotides) under Gallus gallus (chicken). Its description in RNAcentral is "lncRNA (ENSGALG00010006409.1)". The record is from RNAcentral. Lineage: Eukaryota; Metazoa; Chordata; Aves; Galliformes; Phasianidae.
UUUCAGUAGAUGUGAUAAUGGCCACCUAUGAGGAGAAAGCUACAGUUGUGUAUGGAUCAACGUCCAGGAAGGUAUGGGAGCUGCAGUUCGUUUAGUAGGUAAAGCAAGCAAGUUGUGUGGCACUGAGUUGGAUGCCCGGGAGAGAUGCAGUGGCAGAGCGCCCAUCGUUGGAAGCACAGUUUGGCAGUUUCCUGUGUUGCCCAAGGAACUGGGACUGCCCGGGCAGAGAGCUCAAGUUUUGAACACCGCACUACAAAUUGUAUGCCAAAGAAAUGCUUCCAUCUCACACUGUCCUCCAGACCAGAGGGAUUAUAUGGGCUUUCAGAAUCUUAUUAUACGUGGAGAAAUGCACAUAUCUUGCCUGAAGGACAUCUCAGAGAAAACUCGAGAACAGCUGCCUGGCAGAGGGCAGCGGUGGAUUCUUUGUGGACUGCUGAAGAAGGUUGGCACGAAUUACAAGGCUGAAGCACAAU